CUGGUUUAUUCGAAGAAUGAAGAGGAGCAUAAGGAGCAUUUGCGUUUGGUACUUGGAAAGCUCAGAGAACAUCAAUUAUAUGCCAAGUUCAGCAAAUGUGAGUUUUGGUUGAAGGAAGUAGGAUUCCUCGGACACGUUAUAUCUGGAGAAGGAAUAGCAGUAGAUCCCGCUAAAGUUGAUACCGUGACCAAGUGGGAAGCCCCGACAACAGUUGGAGAGAUCUGGAGUUUUCUUGGACUCGCAGGAUACUACCGGAGAUUUAUUGAGAAUUUCUCAAAGAUUGCGAAGCCUAUGACUGAGUUGCUGAAGAAGGAUACCAAGUUCAAAUGGACGGAGGAAUGUGAGGCUAGUUUCCAGGAGUUGAAGAAACGUUUGGUUACCUCACCAGUGUUGAUUUUGCCAGACCAGACCAAAGAUUAUGAGGUGUAUUGCGAUGCUUCACGUCGAGGACUUGGAGCAGUGCUUAUGCAGGAAGGGAGAGUUGUUUCA
Molecule: ribosomal RNA, 489 nt
Filed under: Triticum aestivum (bread wheat)
Lineage: Eukaryota; Viridiplantae; Streptophyta; Magnoliopsida; Poales; Poaceae
Description: partial small subunit ribosomal RNA
Source: RNAcentral